This 467-nucleotide ribosomal RNA is filed under the name uncultured bacterium. RNAcentral describes it as "partial 16S ribosomal RNA". The stretch from base 20 to 329 matches the Rfam family "Bacterial small subunit ribosomal RNA", at positions 47 to 358 of the family's 1533-position model. The record is from RNAcentral.
GACGAACGCUGGCGGCGUGCUUAACACAUGCAAGUCGAACGGAAAGGCCCUGCUUUUGUGGGGUGCUCGAGUGGCGAACGGGUGAGUAACACGUGAGUAACCUGCCCUUGACUUUGGGAUAACUCCAGGAAACUGGGGCUAAUACCGGAUAGGAGCUCCUGCUGCAUGGUGGGGGUUGGAAAGUUUCGGCGGUUGGGGAUGGACUCGCGGCUUAUCAGCUUGUUGGUGGGGUAGUUGCUUACCAAGGAUUUGACGGGUAGCCGGCCUGGGAGGGUGACCGGGAAAAUGGGAAAGAGGAAAGGGCCAAAACACAAGGGGGGGGAAGGGGGGGAGAAAAUUAAAAAAGGGGGGGAGGCGGGAAGAAGAAAGGGGGGGGGGGGAAAGAGGGCUUUGGGGUUAAAAAACGGUUGGGCGGGGAAAGAAGGGGGAGGAAGGGAAAGGGGAAAAAAAGAACGGGAAAACAAGGG